Long non-coding RNA from Dendroctonus ponderosae (mountain pine beetle), 896 nucleotides. RefSeq lists it as uncharacterized. The transcript is spliced from 2 exons. The record is from RefSeq and is a predicted model, not a curated record. NCBI's taxonomy places the organism in Eukaryota, Metazoa, Arthropoda, Insecta, Coleoptera, Curculionidae.
CGACCAGUUUGUAAAUUUUAUUAAAAAUACCUGUUCGCAAUUUGUGUGACAUCGCCGAUUGACAAACAGCCGCACAAACCAGAAUAAACAUCUCAGAUAUUUUAACCUGAAUCAUAUUCGUAGAAAAUGCGUCUCGUUUCCGUCAAACACCGGUUUUCUGUAAUUUCAGCGCUUUUCUACCGGGUGCAACCGGCCUAGAAGAAUGGUAGGAUGGCUUCUUCAGAAUGGUCCGGUCGUGACUCAACGAAAAGGAUCAUUAGGGCGUCACAUACCUUUCCGGUUAUAUCGAGGAUUUGGAGCUUUUUAGACGGCAAAUUCUCCCUGUUAUUUAAGUGCAAAACCAACUGCCUCCCUGAUAACUAGGAACGUUGAAGACAAUCGUCAUUCAUUUUAAAAGACGCCGAUAAACGAUUCUUUGAGGUCGAAAGGGUUCUUCUCUUCCGAAAACAGUGGAAUAUUUUUUGAUUAAGCAUAAAAGGUUUAAUGAGCAAAUAAAAAGUGCCGCGUCCUAAAUUCAAAGACAAAAGUAAGGCAAGGAAUCGGUUGUACAGAUGAAAGCUUAAAUGCAACACUUAAUAAGCAGAAAAAGUUGGAAAGUUACGCAAAAUGUGUAAAGUGAAACCAAAGUCGAAAAACUGGUAAACGGCGUUGAAAACUUGAUGGACAUCACCUACUAAUGGACCGAAACUUUGGCAAAUUAUCCAUUAAUUUAAUAAAGCAAGAGUAAAACAGAUAUGGAAAGGAACAGAAUCAAAGCUGUUUGUCCCACAUUACAAUAUUGAAUUAUAUGAAAAAAAUUAAUAGAUUAGAAUCUUACAGACCGAAUAUCAUUAGUAAUCAAUGAAUAAACCGAGAAUUAUCCUUGUAUUUGCUAAUUAUAAGGAUAUUUGCUGAUU